UACGUAGGUGGCGAGCGUUGUCCGGAUUUACUGGGCGUAAAGGGAGCGUAGGCGGAUUUUUAAGUGAGAUGUGAAAUACUCGGGCUCAACUUGAGUGCUGCAUUUCAAACUGGAAGUCUAGAGUGCAGGAGAGGAGAAUGGAAUUCCUAGUGUAGCGGUGAAAUGCGUAGAUAUCGGGAGGAACACCAGUGGCGAAGGCGGUUUACUGGACCACAACUGACGCUGAGACACGAAAGCGUGGGGAGCAAACAGG
RNAcentral lists this ribosomal RNA (253 nucleotides) under uncultured bacterium. Its description in RNAcentral is "partial 16S ribosomal RNA". It matches the Rfam family "Bacterial small subunit ribosomal RNA", at positions 524 to 776 of the family's 1533-position model. The record is from RNAcentral.